Molecule: ribosomal RNA, 466 nt
Filed under: uncultured bacterium
Lineage: Bacteria
Description: partial 16S ribosomal RNA
Rfam family: Bacterial small subunit ribosomal RNA
Source: RNAcentral
GACGAACGCUGGCGGCGCGCCUAACACAUGCAAGUCGAACGAGCGAGAGAGAGCUUGCUUUCUUGAGCGAGUGGCGAACGGGUGAGUAACGCGUGAGGAACCCGCCCCAAAGAGGGGGACAACAGUUGGAAACGACGGCUAAUACCGCAUAAGCCCACGGUGCCGCAUGGCACGGAGGGAAAAGGAGCGAUUUGCUUUGGGGUGGCCCCGCGUCCGAUUAGCUUGUUGGUGUGGUAGCGGCCCACCAAGGCGACGAUCGGUAGCCGGACUGAGAGGUUGACCGGCCACAUUGGGACUGAGACACGGCCCAGACUCCUACGGGAGGCAGCAGUGGGGAAUAUUGCACAAUGGGGGAAAACCUGAUGCAGCGACGCCGCGUGGAGGAGGAAGGUCUUCGGAUUGUAAACUCCUGUUGUUGGGGAAGAUAAUGACGGUACCCAGCAAAGAAGUGACGGCUAACUACGUG